Molecule: long non-coding RNA, 1461 nt
Filed under: Equus asinus (donkey)
Lineage: Eukaryota; Metazoa; Chordata; Mammalia; Perissodactyla; Equidae
Description: lncRNA (ENSEASG00005023597.1)
Source: RNAcentral
CUGGGGCUGACUCUAGCUCUUCCAGGGGCCGUCGUUCUUUUACAAAGGGGGGUGGAGGUUGUUGUUGACUUUUUUUUUUUUAUGAAUGGAGGGCGGCGGCGACUGCAGCAGCUGGCUCAGCUGCGCGGGCUGUACCCCCUCCCAGCCUGCGAGAGGAGGUACAACUGCUCUGCUAGAGGCAAAACCCUAACAACUGCGUUCCUGCCCGUGCUAACGACAGUCCUUUCACCGAGCCUCACUGAAGCUAGUGGAAAACCCACACCAACAAAACCGAGGAACAAAUCCAGAGAGUAGACAAUGUGGGAAUAACUGCAUGGAGCUCAGAUUCCAUUUCUCAGCUUCUGGAACAACAAGAGACACACAGGGAAGUCAGAACCUUUGAAGGCCAAUGCCACUCCCUUCACCCACCUCCACCACGAAGUAGCACUUUUGGGAAUUCUUCCAUCUCAGAAGAGCUUUGUCAUCUCUUACAUCAGUUGGAGCUGGCAGCUCUCAAAUCCAUCUUCUGCACCCCAGAAGUUCCGUGGGACACUCCCUGACUGAAGGGGAGGCAGCUGACCAGUGCCCGCUCAGCCUGCUGCUCAGCAGAGAGUUUGUGAAGCCACAUACCGAACCCUUUCCCACAGCCCAGGGAAGAUGAGUCAGAAACAUGGCAAACAAAAGCCAAGGAGGGACCUUUGCGUGAGGCCGAGAGCCCACCUGUCCAUCGGCAUCCGCAUCAUGGAGCAGGACGGGGAGGGCUGGACCCGGGGCUGCAGAGAGCCAGCUCCAUUUAAUCGCUGCUCCAGUGACAUGUGUGUUAAUGAGGGAGGAAAGAAAAAGGACCCCCUAACAGAUGGAGAGAGAGGCUCUGAUUACUGAAAAUUUUACAGUCUCCUGUACACGGCCUGUGAGGACCCUCACUCCAGGAUCAGCUCUCAUUUUCGUGGAUUGGGACCUGCCCUUUGGUGAUAUUGGGAAUGUUGGAGGAGCAAUGCCUGGAUCUCCCUCUAUGCUGCCCAUGAGGCUAUCUGCAUCUUUCACCUUUCCAGGUGGAGUGGGCAGGGAACUCAAGUCCGGGAAGGGUGGAUGUUGUGUCCGAGCAGGGUCUGAGCAUAGCCUGCGGGUCUCUUCUCCUGCUCCUAGACUGGCGUACUUGUCAGGAAAGUUCAGCUGUCCCCUGACUGCAAUGGGACGCUCUCGUUCCUUCAGAUAAGGAAAAUGAGACAUGAAGAGGUUAAGUUGUCCAAGGUCACAUGCAGGAGUUGACAUUUGUGAGGAGUCCAGGACAGUCAUUUUGCAGAUUAUGCGGCUUAUUUGUUCAACAGUUCACAGUAAACACCUCCUGUGUGCCGGGCACUGUACUGUGAGAGGAGAACAUCGUCGUCAAGAAAAACUUGAAGUGAAAGAAGACACUGAUGAUCAAAUGACAUGUGUGAGCAGUUGCAGAUUUUUCCAAAAGGGAGGCUGCAUAAAUUCAAG